CCGAAGCGAAAGCGAGUCUGAACAGGGCGCUUGAGUCAGUGGGGUAGACGCGAAACCUUGUGAUCUACCAUGACCAGGUUGAAGGUGAGGUAACACUCACUGGAGGACCGAACCAGGGGACGUUGAAAAGUCCUUGGAUGAGUUGUGGGUAGGGGUGAAAGGCUAAUCAAACUGGGAAAUAGCUCGUACUCCCCGAAAUGCAUUUAGGUGCAGCCUCGGUUACGAGCCUUGCAGAGGUAGAGCUACUGAUUGGAUGCGAGGGCUUCACCGCCUAUCAACUCCAGACAAAACUCCGAAUGCUGCAAGGUGCUCACCGGGAGUGAGGGCGCGGGUGCUAAGGUCCGCGUCCGAGAGGAAAAGAAUCCGGACCAACAGCUAAGGUCCCCAAGUGUAUGUUAAGUUGAAUUAACGGGGUCUGAUUGCAGAGACAGCUAGGAUGUUGGCUUGGAAGCAGCCAUUCAUUUAAAGAGUGCGUAACAGCUCACUAGUCGAGCGAUCGGGCAUGGAUAAUAAUCGGGC
This 519-nucleotide ribosomal RNA is filed under the name uncultured bacterium. RNAcentral describes it as "bacterial LSU rRNA". It matches the Rfam family "Bacterial large subunit ribosomal RNA", at positions 666 to 1180 of the family's 2925-position model. The record is from RNAcentral.